UGGUCAAGUUAUUAAGGGUGCAGGGCGGAUGCCUUGGCACUAGGAGCCGAUGAAGGACGUGAUAAGCUGCGAUAAGCUUCGGGGAGUUGCACGUAAACUUUGAUCCGAAGAUUUCCGAAUGAGGAAACUCACUUAGAGUAAUGUCUAAGUAUCAUUAAGUGAAUACAUAGCUUAAUGAGGGGAACUCAGGGAACUGAAACAUCUAAGUACCGGAAGGAAGAGAAAGAAAUUCGAUUCCGUAAGUAGCGGCGAGCGAACGCGGAUUAGCCCAAACCAAUAAAGUUUUCUUUAUUGGGGUUGCGGACAUAUCAUAACGAAGAGGUAUCGUAAUUGAAGAGG
This 339-nucleotide ribosomal RNA is filed under the name Clostridioides difficile. RNAcentral's name for it is "bacterial LSU rRNA". It matches the Rfam family "Bacterial large subunit ribosomal RNA", at positions 1 to 341 of the family's 2925-position model. The record is from RNAcentral. Lineage: Bacteria; Bacillati; Bacillota; Clostridia; Peptostreptococcales; Peptostreptococcaceae.